This 253-nucleotide ribosomal RNA is filed under the name uncultured bacterium. RNAcentral describes it as "partial 16S ribosomal RNA". It matches the Rfam family "Bacterial small subunit ribosomal RNA", at positions 524 to 776 of the family's 1533-position model. The record is from RNAcentral.
GACGUAGGGCGCGAGCGUUGUCCGGAUUUAUUGGGCGUAAAGAGCUCGUAGGCGGCUUGUCGCGUCGACUGUGAAAACCCGCGGCUUAACCGCGGGCUUGCAGUUGAUACGGGCAGGCUAGAGUUCGGUAGGGGGGACUGGAAUUCCUGGUGUAGCGGUGAAAUGCGCAGAUAUCAGGAGGAACACCCGUGGCGAAAGCGGCUCUCUGGAACGGUACUGACGCUGAGACGCGAAAGCGUGGGGAGCGAACAGG